CGAAGGUGGCAAGCGUUGUUCGGAUUUACUGGGCGUACAGGGAGCGUAGGCGGUUCGGUAAGCCCUUUGUGAAAUCUCCAGGCUUAACCUGGAACAGUCGGAGGGGACUGCCGGGCUAGAGGGCGGGAGAGGAGCGCGGAAUUCACGGUGUAGCGGUGAAAUGCGUAGAGAUCGGGAGGAAGGCCGGUGGCGAAGGCGGCGCUCUGGAACGUUUCUGACGCUGAGGCUCGAAAGCGUGGGGAGCAAACAGGAUUAGAUACCCUGGUAGUCCACGCCUUAAACUAUGAAUACUAAGUGUCGGCGGGUUACCGCCGGUGCCGCAGCUAACGCAUUAAGUAUUCCGCCUGGGAAGUACGGCCGCAAGGUUG
RNAcentral lists this ribosomal RNA (368 nucleotides) under uncultured organism. RNAcentral describes it as "bacterial SSU rRNA". It matches the Rfam family "Bacterial small subunit ribosomal RNA", at positions 526 to 896 of the family's 1533-position model. The record is from RNAcentral.